UACGGAGGGUGCAAGCGUUAUCCGGAUUCACUGGGUUUAAAGGGUGCGUAGGUGGGUUGGUAAGUCAGUGGUGAAAUCUCCGAGCUUAACUUGGAAACUGCCAUUGAUACUAUUAGCCUUGAAUAUUGUGGAGGUCAGCGGAAUAUGUCAUGUAGCGGUGAAAUGCUUAGAGAUGACAUAGAACACCAAUUGCGAAGGCAGCUGGCUACACAUAUAUUGACGCUGAGGCGCGAGAGCGUGGGGAGCAAACAGG
Molecule: ribosomal RNA, 253 nt
Filed under: uncultured bacterium
Lineage: Bacteria
Description: partial 16S ribosomal RNA
Rfam family: Bacterial small subunit ribosomal RNA
Source: RNAcentral